This 497-nucleotide ribosomal RNA is filed under the name uncultured bacterium. RNAcentral describes it as "partial 16S ribosomal RNA". It matches the Rfam family "Bacterial small subunit ribosomal RNA", at positions 28 to 507 of the family's 1533-position model. The record is from RNAcentral.
GACGAACGCUGGCGGCGUGCCUAAUACAUGCAAGUAGAACGCUGAAGAGCGGAGCUUGCUCUUCUUGGAUGAGUCGCAAACGGGUGAGUAACGCGUAGGUACCCUGCCUGGUAGCGGGGGAUCACUAUUGGAAACGAUAGCUAAUACCGCAUAAAAUUGAUUAUUGCAGGAUAGUUAAUUGAGAGUUGCAACUGCAUCACUACCAGAUGGCCCUUCGUUGUAUUAGUUAGUUGGUGAGGUAACGGCUCACCAAGGCGACGAUACAUAGCCGAACUGAGAGGGUGGUCGGCCACACUGGGACUGAGACACGGCCCAGACGGCUACAGGAGGCAGCAGUAGGGAAUCUGCGGCAAUGGGGGGGAAACUGACCGAGCAACGCCGCGUGAGGGAAGAAGGUUGUCGGAUCGGAAAGCUCUGUUGUAAGAGUAGAACGGGUGUGCGAGUGGAAAGUUCACAGUGUGACGGUAACUGAUAAGAAAGCAACGGCUAACUACGUG